CACAGCCGUCGGCGCCCGCCCAGGAAGCUCAGCUGGAGGACGCCACCAGGAGCCUCCACAAGGCCCUCGCCCUGGAAGGUCUGAGGGACUGGUACCUGAGGAACACGAUAGGCUCCACCCACCAAAACCGGGCCAACGGAAAGGUCAACACGGGAGUCAACACUAAGGCCAACGGGGGGGUCAAAGGUCAGGCUGGAGGGGGAGGAGCUCUGCACGGCAGACGGAGGACUCACGGCGGCAUCCAGCAGGCGACCUAUCAGACGGAGACGAGUCAUCACAAAAAGACGCUGCCGCAUUCGGCCACGUUCCACGGACACCCGCUGCACGGCAGGUCUGUGGAAAGCUCUCUCUACCAAGACUCAUUCCCUCCUCAGAAACAGGAAGACCAGCUAUCUCCUGGAACUCUGGUCUGACUCACCGACCAAUCAGGAAGCUGGAACUCUGUUUUCUGACUCACCGACCAAUCAGGAAGCUGGAACUCUGGUCUGACUCACCGACCAAUCAGGAGGCUGACGUACAGUGACACAGAGCCUAUCCCGGGCUGGCUUCCUGGGAUCAACGCCUCUCUGGAGUGCUGUUUGUCCUGCAGGUUCUUCAGGAGAACCAGGGGUUAUGUUUCCACCACUUGCUUCCCUCUCUCGUUUCUCAGUCCGUCCCACCAAGAAAGACGCAAGGAAAUCAUGCGAGGAGAGAGGGAACGAGGGAAUGUGUUUAUAGAGGGAUGAGACUUCCUUUCCUCUGAAGCGUCACGUGACUUUGUCAGCUGUGUGGGCGGAGUUAGCAACUCCUUCAGCUGCACGGC
Perca flavescens (yellow perch) is the source of this 802-nucleotide long non-coding RNA. RefSeq lists it as uncharacterized. The transcript has 3 exons. The record is from RefSeq and is a predicted model, not a curated record. NCBI's taxonomy places the organism in Eukaryota, Metazoa, Chordata, Actinopteri, Perciformes, Percidae.